UUAAUUCCACUAUAAUGAGAAAUUGAAGCGCGGGUUGAAUAACAAAAAUUAUAGGUUUUUUUUUAUAAAAAUGACGUGGUGGUUUUCCGACGGAAGCAAUAGCCGCUUUAUUAUUAUGUAUAGAUUUUAGAUGAUGUGAUAUAGCACCAACACCAAGUAGUCUUCUUUUGCAUUUCUUCCUCUCUUUUUUAUUUCUUGUCCGGCUCCACAGUAAACGAGCCUCUUCUCCUUGACGCGUGUUCCAAUAUGCUUGUACUAGUAUUUGUAUUACCAGUAGAACUUUGCCUUCGAGAUCGAUGCCAUAUUGCCUCUAGUCCUUGAUUUAAUAUAUGAAGGCGUGGAAUACUUUUGAUUGCUCGUGCAGGUGGGCAGUCUAUACAUAGCAACAACUCAGUGGAUCGGUCGCUCCUUGGGACUUGGAGCUGUAGGGAACGAAAAUUGGAUACUUUAGCGACUAGCAUACGACAACCAGAAUAAAUCCCACAAUACGUCACCUCGGUGCAGUGAGAUUCGUCUUGAUUUCGGCAUAGAGUAAAAAUCAGUCUCCGAUCUUCAUAUGGAC
Molecule: long non-coding RNA, 562 nt
Filed under: Hordeum vulgare
Lineage: Eukaryota; Viridiplantae; Streptophyta; Magnoliopsida; Poales; Poaceae
Description: long non-coding RNA (HVUL_LNC012462)
Source: RNAcentral